AUUCUCUGCGCCGGUUGUGGGCACGUCUUGAUUUGCAGCGAUUUCAGUGCCAGAUGAUGGAUUUAUCGCUGACCUCGUUUUGCUAGUCACAAUUAGCUCCUGGGUUUCAGUCGUAUCGUCCAAUGGAGCAACUUGUUGCUUAGAUUGCAACAGAAAUUGACUGGAUCGUUCCUUGAAAAGUGUGCCGAAUUUCUCGAAAAAUGGUUCCUUUGCCAAGUACCUAUUAAUAUGUGAUUAGCUACGGAUUUCAUGGCCGUACACGUGAUUAAUAAUGCGUCAUGACGUUUACGACUCUGAGAAACAUUAUAAUACGCGUCGUCUGUGUAGUGAAUAAUUUGAUAUAACCAUGCAUUUGUUGCGCAACGAGAAAUUCCAGAAACCGAAGCGAGAUUUUUCUCUGUUUAAAAUGUUAUGAUGGGGAUUCCCAUUAGGUAUACUUGUAUUGUCACGAUAUUGAAAAAUUCACAUGGCAUGAACAUGGAGCUGUACCUAGCUAUGCGCGAUAAUUGCAUGUGAAAGCAAUCCGGUUUUUCUUAGCAGAACUUAUGAUGAAACGUCACUAGUUGAAAUUUAUAGGUGCUACCGGAAGAAAUGUUCAACGAAUUUCCUAAGGAAGCCUAGAAUCCCGAGCGUCGUCUGGUAUCUAUGAAUCACUGUACAGCAUGAACGUCAAACACAGCUGGACCCUGAUAUUAACCCAUUAACCAGUACAUUAUUACCAG
Molecule: long non-coding RNA, 722 nt
Organism: Sabethes cyaneus
Lineage: Eukaryota; Metazoa; Arthropoda; Insecta; Diptera; Culicidae
Exons: 3
Source: RefSeq, a predicted model, not a curated record